GAAGCUUGUUCUAGGGGCUGUAUUCCUGGGAGCAGGACAAAAUCUUGUGCUAGUUCUGCUUCCUCACUUGUAUCCUCAAGUUCCAGGGUCAACCUACUCUAACAUUGGAGCAAGGAGAAUAACAGCAAAGUAGCAGUUUGAAUUUGGUUGAACAGUACUCCUAUCACUGACUGUGAUCAAAAGAGACAGUAAAAUAAAAGGAUGGGAAUAAUGGAUGAAGAGGUUGAUACAUUGCCAACACCAUGAAGAAGAGUUUUCAGUGUGCUGCAUGAAAUUUCCAGAUCUUGGGGCUGAUAGAAGCAUUUUUGUAACUACGUAUUAUAGAAACAAACCUCACUUCAAAAAAUAUAUGAAAACCAAGAGAAUAUUUCAGAACAUAAAAACAUUUUCCUUUUUGUUCGGUUCACUUAUAUUACUGUUUACCUUAAAGAAUAGGAUGGGAACUCUCAAUGAAAUUGAAUAACUUGCCUUCAUGAUCUGGAGCCUCACAAAAAGGAGUCAGUUCAGUUGCCUAAGUGAUUUGCAGAUUUUGGCAACUAAAUACAGCACAGAAUUUAAUCUCUGUAUGUAUAUUUUUAGAUAGGUAGAU
Long non-coding RNA from Numida meleagris (helmeted guineafowl), 589 nucleotides. RefSeq lists it as uncharacterized. NCBI's taxonomy places the organism in Eukaryota, Metazoa, Chordata, Aves, Galliformes, Numididae. The record is from RefSeq and is a predicted model, not a curated record. The transcript is spliced from 4 exons.